AGCAUAUUCUCAAGUAGUUUCAUGAUAAAGGAUGUAUGAGAGAUCAACCCUUUAUCAUGAAACGCUUGAGGAUACGCU
This is a microRNA precursor of Gorilla gorilla gorilla (western lowland gorilla), 78 nucleotides long. The record is from Ensembl. Lineage: Eukaryota; Metazoa; Chordata; Mammalia; Primates; Hominidae.